AGGACGAACGCUGGCGGCGUGCUUAACACAUGCAAGUCGAGCGGAAAGGCCCUUCGGGGUACUCGAGCGGCGAACGGGUGAGUAACACGUGAGUAAUCUGCCCCUAGCUCUGGGAUAGCUCCGGGAAAACCGGGAUUAAUACCAGAUACGACCACUUUAGACAUCUUCUGUGGUGGAAAGAACUUCGGCUAGGGAUGAACUCGCGGCCUAUCAGCUUGUUGGUGAGGUAACGGCUCACCAAGGCGACGACGGGUAGCCGGCCUGAGAGGGCGACCGGCCACACUGGGACUGAGACACGGCCCAGACUCCUACGGGAGGCAGCAGUGGGGAAUAUUGCGCAAUGGGCGAAAGCCUGACGCAGCGACGCCGCGUGGGGGAUGAAGGCCUUCGGGUUGUAAACCCUUUCAGCAGGGACGAAGCGAAAGUGACGGUACCUGCAGAGAAGCGCCGGCUAACUACGUGCCAGCAGCCGC
This 473-nucleotide ribosomal RNA is filed under the name uncultured bacterium. RNAcentral describes it as "SSU rRNA". It matches the Rfam family "Bacterial small subunit ribosomal RNA", at positions 26 to 518 of the family's 1533-position model. The record is from RNAcentral.